Raphanus sativus (radish) is the source of this 1247-nucleotide long non-coding RNA. RefSeq lists it as uncharacterized. NCBI's taxonomy places the organism in Eukaryota, Viridiplantae, Streptophyta, Magnoliopsida, Brassicales, Brassicaceae. The transcript has 2 exons. The record is from RefSeq and is a predicted model, not a curated record.
UUUAAGGAUUAAGUCCUUAACUCCUCAUCUCCUCUCCACCCCACGAUCAACAUCCUCUCCACCCUACGAUCAACAUCAUCACCAAACCACUUUCGAUCAAAAAAACUCUUGAGAGAGAGACGAAACCAAUGGCGCCUUCUUCCUCAAGCGGCCUCACCGAGGAAUCACAGUAGAAAUCACGGCCGAGGAAACUGAAGCCGACGCUGAUACUGGUGGUGGCCAGAGUUAGAGCGAAGACGGCGGCAAGACGCAGCCUGGCCUAGUCUUUAUCCCUCCGAAUAACAGAAAGGCGCCGCCACUUUCCAGAAAAUUUUGUUGGAUGUGUCGUUGUUAUCUACAUUGAUUUAGAUGUCUAUAUGUCUAAUUGGGUGACUAGAUGUGUCGUUGUUAUUGAAUCCUUAAAAAGUGUAGAACUUUUCAAGCACAAGUCGCUAUACAUUAAUGGCAAUCUGUCUAUUUAGUUUUUGUUUUGCAUAUAAGAAACAGAGGAGCCUUUAUUGUUUUUUGUUCUUGGACUUUGCUCUAUGUUUCUGCUUUGUUACUGUUAUCAUCACUACAUCAUAAAAUUUGUUCCUUUAAGUUUUCUUCACUUGCAUCUCUGUGGAUUAUCCCCUCUGCUGUGUAUCAUUGAGUUUUAGAUAUGCAGAGCCUUAAAGUCUCCGACUUUUGUUAAAUUAAUAAGCAGGAAAGUAAAUGAGGAAGAAGGUUGAGUGAUUGGUAAAUGAUCUUGAAGUUCUUAACUUUCUUUUUCUUUUUGGUGUGUAAGGAUUGUCAUCAAGCUCUUGUCUUAAGCAAGGGCCAAUGCCGAUGGACAACAUCCGCAUUACACCUGAAGCAACCUAUGAAGCUGUGAUUGCUGACUCUAAACUGUUCAUGGGUUCCUUGGAGAGGCUACACUCUCAAGUGGGUACUAAAUUCAUGGGAGAUGGGAAGAAGCAUGAGUGAAAAGGAAGGUGUAGCUUUCAGUAAAACUCAAUGGCAGGAGCUUGAGAGACAGAGGAAUAUAUACAAGUACAUGAUGGCUUCUCUUCCUGUUCCUUCUGAGCUUCUCACACCCUUCUCAAAGAACCCAUCACACACCAACCAUCAACAUGGUAAAAAUCUCCUUACCUUUCUACUUUUAUCUCUUCUUAUCAUGUUUGAUAAUUAAAAACCAUUGUCUUAAAGCUACUUUGUUGAUAACAACAUGGUACUAAUUAGAUUUGUCAUAUGUAGUUUAAAUUCCUAAGGACUCCAUGUUAGUAACA